GUGUUUUUUUUGAUUCACUGAUCCGAACUGAGUCAUAUGUUGUGCAGAAGAGUUAACACAGCCAACCAGAGACUGCUACUUAGAAGAGCCUGCAAGGAUUUUCCUGGUCUUAUCUGGUGCUGACACGGGAGAAUAAUAGAAGCUAACGCAAACGCGGAGCUGCCACUGAAGAGAAAGAAGACUGGGGGACGUUUGCCAGCAAGAAGUAGACAUGUUUUGAGGGUGAGGGCUUAUUUCCAGCGGGAAGAAUCAGAUUAUCUGGAUGGUUUGAACCACUCAUGAAAAGAAACAAACAGAACACCUGCAAAUAUGAAGCCAUGUGACACUCAGGUAAAUACCUGCACCUAAAUGGAAGACACACACAGUAUAGUGGCUAAUCCACUGCAGUCUAGAUUCAAGACUACAAACCUCAAAUGGGCACUUACAGCUGCUUAGAAUGCUCUUCCUGACAGUCUCCUCUUCAUGGUACCAAGCAGACACAAGAGGUACUUGUGCUGAUACAAAGAAGCAGUCAGAUGCACCGAGAAGAAAAACUUUGGUGUUUAAGAACACUCGCUAGUAAGGUAUGAACAUACAUGGAUACAGCGGCAAGAGAACUGGAAUGAGAGACCAUAUACCCUACUGCCAUCACUGUACUGUCGGACACGUCACGUUUCCUGUUUUCCAACAUCUAUAAAAUAGGAGGCAAGCCACCAAUGUCCAAUCGGUUUUCACAUGAAGGUACAUCUGUCCCGGAGUUGAACAAGCACCUGGAGCCAGAGAACCCUGAAGGGCUGGUCUAAAAGGAUGAGCUCUGUCUCCUUUUCCCUGUCUACCAUUGGAUGAGUCACAUUAUCUUCUGUUAAGUGGGGAUGCCGUUCCACGCCCUGCCGACCCGGAUGAUGGCACGAUGUUAGGAUCCGGGGAGACGGAUCUGAAAGUGCUCUAUGGGUUCAAGGGUUUUUAGUUAAAUGGAGCUUAAAUCUGAGCCACUUCACUGAUAGGUGUGAAAUAAUCUCAAACUAUGUGCUUGAAUAGCUUGCAAUAUUAGAUGAUUUCUAAUCAUCUAAUGGGUGGUAUGGAACAAGUCGAUGGCAAUGUGAAUUAUUCUUUGAAUUCAGAUUCCACUGUGACAGAACAUCUCCUGUAAUUUCUGGGGAGUGACCCAGCAGAAAUGCAUACACAUAUUUAUGAAUACAGACAAUAGUCCAAAGCCCUACAGUGAGUUGGGCCUCAAACUUCUAUUCCUUCUCCCUGUUUAGGAAAGCUGUCCCUAGCUCCUGGCACCAAGUUCCCAAACCUGCCUCCAGAUUACAGAGUAUGCUCAGCAAAGAGUUGUUGCCUCGUCAACAAUGAGCAUUAGCACAGCAGUUGGACUGGAAGGAAAAGCCUUUGUCUAUUAGGAAGCCUGCAGAGCUUGGUUGCUAGGCAACCAAGUCUGGAGGCAGCAACCAGUGUGCACCACAUGGGAAUCCAGGAAGGUGGGCCUGGAAAAUAGGGAGAGGCAAUUCUUAGAGUCAGCUGAGGCAGAAGAAGAAGAAGAAACAAAACACUGUCCUACUACCCAGGUAAAGAAGGGGUGCCUGCAUGGAAUUAAGGUGUGCAUUUCAGCGUGAAAAUGCUAAGUGCCAGCACUCACAGGUGACUAACUAUACUGUCAUCUGGAAACCUGUGUGACCUUGAGUAGGUGGCUUUUUCCAGCCUCAGGUUGCCUGGCAAAAGCAGAGAGCGAAGGAGCCAGGUAUCACUGACUUGCCCCAUCCCUGCCACUGCAGGCACCACACACGCAUACCUUCUGAAAACAGAGAAACAUGGGCUUUUGCAUACUGUAUUUGCAUGAAAGGAUUGAAAGAAGAGGAUAUAUCACUAAAAACUUGGGAAUAAAUGGUCUUUGGGAUUCCUUAAGCUUCAGGUUACAAACAAAAUGACUAUUUCUUCUUCAUAAACAUAACUAAAUAUUUACACAGGACAGAAUACGCCAAACUCCAGAUAUGGGGGAAGUUCUCUUUCAUAUAGCCAAACUCUUAGAGUGCCUCUGUCUUAAAAAGCAUUCCUCAGCAGUCUGCCAGCAUAUUUAAAAAAUGCAAAAUUAGAUACUUUUGGGGGAAUUAAGUCAUGAACUACUCCUGAGCCACACGGAGGUCUGGCACAUCAAGUAAAUAUUCAGUUUAAGGUUGACAGUGAAUUUAAACUCAAAGGAAUGAGGCACCUCCCAGUGAAAUUUGCUAUGAAGGGGUAUCCAGGGUGGAGAAUCAAGCAGAGGUUGGCACAUGCAGGCCCAUGAGGGCUGGGGCAUCACAGAGAGAAGGCACUAGAUCAUAAGAUUUGCAGGUAGGAAGAGAGAGAUGUGAAGCAGGACUUCACUUAUUUUAGCUGUUCACCUUGGAUAUGUUACCUAAAUUCUCUGAUGCUCAGUUUACUCACCAGUACAAUGGGAACAAGAAUAGUAUGUACCCCUAAGAGAUGCUAUGAACUUUAAACAAAAUAAUGCAUGGUAACCACUUAGCAGAGGGCCUGGCAUAUUGUAAACGAAGAAUAGAGGCUAGUGAAUGUGUCCAUGUAGACUCUUGGAUCGGUGUCACAGAGUAAACCUGGCUGAGAUUAUGGUUUGUUUUUUUUAAAAAAGGAAAUGCACGUACAGCUCAGGGGCAAGACGUUGUCACAGAAAAGUACUAUAGUAGGAGUUGGGAGAUCAGGCCUCUGUGAAGGUCUAGGUCACUGUCAAGCAGUUAGAGUCCCGAUGUGCAAUUGUGACAGCUCAGAGGUUGCACAAAAAAAGCAGGCUUAUGCCCAAGACCACCUUCCCCAGCACCAUGGAGACCUACUCCAGACAGAGUUCAGCUCCAAGUGCAGAUGCUUCCAGUCUGAAAUCUUAUUUGUGGAUAUCACUUAUCUUUGAGUACUUUCGGAGCCUUCCAUAUCCUGGAAUCUGGGACCUGUGCUCUGAGUGGCCGGCUUUCCAGAAGACCACAUUUGCGGAUUCUUAUCUUUUGUGCAGGCCUUGCUCUGCACCAUGUGUGUCCUCUUCCUCUCUGGGUUAAUGUUUUCUCCCCAAUACAAAGAAAGAUUGGCCUAUUUGAUCUUUGAUUCUGCUCCAGCUUGUCUUUUAUACAUUUUCCCUAAACUUUUCUUCAGAGUCUUGGAGAUUUUUAUUCAUUCAUUCAUUAAACAGGUUCUCUUGCAUGCCUAAUCAGUGCCAGGCACUAUCAGAGGCACUGAAGAUACAUGCAUUGGUAACCACCUGGCAGAAUCUCUGCUGUUAUGCAGCUGACAAUGGCAGGAGAUGAACCGUGAUCAGGUAGGCAGAAAUGUCUGUUUAUUUCUGAUGGUGGUAAAUGCGACCAAGUAUAUUAAAAGACAGGACUCUUUCAGUUAUCUAGUACAGUGUAAAAACCCCACCCCAACUCAUGUACUGCCUUAGAACAAUUAUUUAUUAGUUCUCAUGAAUCUUGAAUUGACUGGGUCAGCUGAGUGGUUCUCCUCCUCCACUUGCAAUAGCCAAGUGAUUCAUGCAACUGCAUUCAGUCGGGGGGUCGUUUGGGGCUGGAACAUCCAAGAGGAGUUGUCAUCCUCCAGGGUCUCCCCCGCUUGUCAUCACCCCAUAUUCCUCCCCAAGCUUCUUUGUCGAAUGGCAGCUGGACAUUUAGCCCCAGUGCGCAAGUGCUCUCAAAGCUUAUC
Long non-coding RNA from Hipposideros armiger (great roundleaf bat), 3657 nucleotides. RefSeq lists it as uncharacterized. The record is from RefSeq and is a predicted model, not a curated record. NCBI's taxonomy places the organism in Eukaryota, Metazoa, Chordata, Mammalia, Chiroptera, Hipposideridae. The transcript has 7 exons.